This 262-nucleotide ribosomal RNA is filed under the name uncultured archaeon. Its description in RNAcentral is "partial 16S ribosomal RNA". It matches the Rfam family "Archaeal small subunit ribosomal RNA", at positions 715 to 982 of the family's 1478-position model. The record is from RNAcentral.
AGUCACUGACAUUAGAUACCCGCGUAGUCCUGGCCGUAAACGAUGUGGACUUGGUGUUGGAAUGGCUCCGAGCUGCUCCAGUGCCGAAGGGAAGCUGUUAAGUCCACCGCCUGGGAAGUACGGUCGCAAGACUGAACUUAAAGGAAUUGGCGGGGAGCACCACAACGCGUGGAGCCUGCGGUUUAAUUGGAUUCAACGCCGGACAUCUCACCAGGGCGACAGCAGAAUGAUGGCCAGGUUGAUGACCUUGCUUGACAAGCUG